Long non-coding RNA from Astatotilapia calliptera (eastern happy), 1277 nucleotides. Lineage: Eukaryota; Metazoa; Chordata; Actinopteri; Cichliformes; Cichlidae. The record is from Ensembl.
GUAAAUAUACAAUAUAAAAUGGUAAGGCAAAGAAAAUCGGCAAGUACACAUGCUAAUCACAAAAAAUAUCAGUCUAAUCUUUUAGGUAGAUUUUUAAGUAAAGACAACUAAACAGCGAAUUUUAAUUUUUUUAUAAACUUCCGGUUGGACGUAAGAUCUGCCUUGGCCAAGCGUUGUAGCCAAGGAGACCGAGCUUCUAUUAAAAAAACAAAACAAAAAAAACUUUAUUUAUAGCAAGGACCGAUAUUAACAUAAACUGCCUAAAUACAUUUAAAGUACAAGAAAACCGAAAACAAAUCAUUGGGGGAUACAUAAUAGCAAAACACCAUUUUUUAAGUUAAAGAUAAUAAAUACAGUUUUACAAACAGUCUUGAAUAUUAUGUAGGACUUCUACAUUUAAUUUGAGCAAAAACAAAUUGAAACUAGUUAAAAUACAUAUUAGAAGAGGAAAUAAGAUAAAAGAAAGGAUGCGCAGCUGGCCUGAAAGAUCGACGUCAGGGCUGAAAAAGAAAAAAAAAGGAAUCUUGGUUGUCACGGCAACGUUGUGUAUGAUCGAGCGAGUGCCAAAUGAGCGUGAAAAUAGUUAUAAGUAGGAGUACCUAUAGCUAACUUUUCUUCACUGGAAAACAAUGGGAAGGGUGAAACAGCGAGCUAUUUCAGUCAGGGGAGGCCUGAAGUACUAAAGCGGAGAGCGAUGUCAAGUCAUAACCUGCCACCGGUGCGCCAUUUGCCACACUUGACCAGAGUAGGGCGGCUAGAGAAGCCUUGCUCGCUACGACGCUUACCGGCUAACCCUGAACAGCGGCUCCCGCUACCUGUUAUCAAGCCAGCGGGCAGAGCAGCGGCAGAGACGUCCUGUCAGAGCGGCAGCACGGACCUCCGGGUUGCUUCACUGCAAAGAAACGUCCAGUUCCUACAAGAACAGCACAAGGAAACACUGAAGAAGCUCCACGCAGAGAUAGAGAACCUCAGACGGGAGAAUAAAGAGUUGAAGUAUAAGGUGAUAAUGGAGCCUCCUAAGUCAAGUAGAAAAGGUAACAUGUUUAAGCACAUGUAAUGACUUAUUAGGUUUUCAUUUAGGUGAAUUUCAAUGUGCCACCUAAACUUAAUGUCUGAUCCUUCUUCUUCUACGAGUUGCACACAGUCGACAAAACUGUAGACCACCCACUCAGGGCAGUCAAGCCCAUACUGGACUGUACAUGGAGGAGCCACUGCAGGACACGAGACUCUUGCAGGACCAGGCUCUCGGUAGCAUUGGAGCAAGCACUGAAAUUCUG